RNAcentral lists this ribosomal RNA (408 nucleotides) under uncultured bacterium. Its description in RNAcentral is "bacterial SSU rRNA". It matches the Rfam family "Bacterial small subunit ribosomal RNA", at positions 976 to 1381 of the family's 1533-position model. The record is from RNAcentral.
UAGCCUUGACAUUGAAGAAACACACUAGAGAUAGAGUGGUGCCCUUCGGGGAAUCUGAAAACAGGUGCUGCACGGCUGUCGUCAGCUCGUGUCGUGAGAUGUUGGGUUAAGUCCCGCAACGAGCGCAACCCUCGUCCUUAGUUGCCAGCAGGUUAAGCUGGGCACUCUAAGGAGACUGCCUUCGUAAGGAGGAGGAAGGUGAGGACGACGUCAAGUCAUCAUGGCCCUUAUGGCUAGGGCUACACACGUGCUACAAUGGGGCGUACAGAGAGUUGCGAUACCGCGAGGUGGAGCCAAUCUCAUAAAGCGUCUCUCAGUUCGGAUUGAAGUCUGCAACUCGACUUCAUGAAGCUGGAAUCACUAGUAAUCGUAGAUCAGCAAUGCUACGGUGAAUACGUUCCCGGGUCU